AUAAAACUGCAGAGAAUGCUGAAAGAAACUUGUCCACCGCCGCGUGCGCAACUGCGGUGAAGUUUUCACCCAUAUUGCAAGCUAGUGUCACAAGUAAGCAGUGAUUGAGAAGCUGAAAAACAAAAGUGACAGUUUGUAGGAUGUAUUCUUAACUGAUAAGCGUGAAAUCUGCUGAGGGGUGCCAACGUAGUGGGAACGUUGUGAACAUCCUGUAAAACGGUAAGGAAUGAAGGAAAUAAUUGUUGAGAUCAAUAACAUGCAGAAGAACCCUCCUCCCUCUCCGGUGCUUGCGUAUUAUGGGAAAACAUGACAUGACAAAACUUUUAAUAUUACGAUAUCAAAAAAUUGGAGGACCAAGGAUCAACCAAAGAGCAUACGUGGCUCAAGCUGUGGGCUUUCGGUGGGUGGAAGCUGAAGGACGGCAUAAUCACACAUCUCUCUCCUGCCCCGCCCUUUUGCUGACAGAGAUCAUAUAGUUCUGCUGGAUAUGCCACAUCAAUUUAAAGUCAUUUUUAUUUUGUUCAUAAUCAACUUUUAUAUUUUACCCAUUUGGCAUUUAUCCAAAGUGACUUACAGUGCAUUAAAUGUACAAUAUACUUGAUCACUAUAUCAAUCUUUUGACAUUUGCAUUGCUAACACAAUGCUUUACCAAUUGAGCUUCAAAAACACUUAUUUUGUUUAGUAGUGCUUGUGAUAUAACUGAUCUGGGCUCUAACAAUGCUUAUGUAUGGGAUCAUCGCAAUGCACAUACUACUGUAAUGAAGCAUAGGCCUAUAGUCUAAAAAAUACUGCUAAUUGUUUUCAAUUAAAGCAUCUUUUAAAUGCAUCAAUGUAAACUUACGCCUGCAUGCUUUGUUUUAUUAAAUAUUGUGUGACAAUUACCAGCCAAGAUGUUGAUGAUGUAAAAAAACUAGAGUAUAUUAAUUUUAAUGUAAUAUAGAUGUUUUUGCAUAUUUAUUAAUGCCCAAUUAUAUGCACUUCAAUAUAUAAAGUCAAAAUCCAUAUUUUUGUAUUUAAAAUGGAAAAGUUUCCAUUCGAUUCAAAAGUUUAUCGCUAGACUGAAGAAAAGCCACCUGUUGUAGGUCUACUUCAUCUAAAGUACCAUAAAGAAACGGUUUGCAUGUCUAUUAAAAAGGUGACAACUCAAGUUCAAAAACAGCUCUGCAUAUUUUUUUAUUUUGCUAUUUAUAUUUUUAUUGAAUGUAUAUUAUUGUCCUUAGAAGAUAUUUGUAAAUGAAUAAUAUGAA
Misgurnus anguillicaudatus (oriental weatherfish) is the source of this 1247-nucleotide non-coding RNA. The record is from RefSeq and is a predicted model, not a curated record. Lineage: Eukaryota; Metazoa; Chordata; Actinopteri; Cypriniformes; Cobitidae.